Molecule: long non-coding RNA, 973 nt
Organism: Passer domesticus (house sparrow)
Lineage: Eukaryota; Metazoa; Chordata; Aves; Passeriformes; Passeridae
Exons: 5
Source: RefSeq, a predicted model, not a curated record
CUUGCCAAAUAGACCAUGGCACUAAGUGUCACCUACACUUUUUUCUUAAACACCCCCAAGGAUGGAGACUCCACCACCUCCCCAGACUGGCAAACCGUUCUGAUGCUCAAUCACUCUUUCUGUGAAAAACUUCUUCCUAAUGUCCAGCUUAAACUUCCCCUGGCACAGCUUAAGACUGUGUCUUCUUGUCCUGAUGCUGAUUGCCUGGGAGGAGAGACUGACCCCCACCUGGCUACACCCUCCUUUCAGGCAGUUGUAAAGAAUGAUAAGACAGUUCACCAGCCUUAUUGCCUUUCUCUGGACACAAUCAAGCAUCUCAACAUCCUUCAUAAACUGAGGGGCCCAGAACUGGACACAGUACUCAAGGUACAGCCUCACCUGUGGACCUGGACAGAUGAUAUAAGGCUACGUGGCAAAAGGCAGUAACAGUUGGGGGUACCCAAUUAAUACCAUCCCAGGAGUUGUCAGCCCAUCAAAGACCCAGCUGCACAAGACUGGCUAAAAUGGUUGUCUCUAGGUGUUCUCCUUCUCCCAGUCUUCAAAAGAGUCCUAGAUUACUAGAACUGAAUCCUCUCAGUUCCCAGAAAUGUGGCAAUAAUUAGGCUGGAAGGAAGGAAGAGAUGAACAGGGAGUGAAAAAAAAAGUCAAAACAAAGACUGAAGAGAUUCCAAUUACUUAUUACAUCUCCUCAUGUAUUCUUGCUUAAGCUGAUAACCUGACUGUUGAAUUUGAAGCUUAACACUCUAAUUGAAGAGAAGUAAGGCAAAUUUUUAUUAUUUAUCUUGAGAGAGGAACUAAUGAAACAGAAAUAUCUUCCCUAGAAAGGUCAGAAAAGGUAAAAAUGGUUGGAAAACAGAAAGUAUUAGAAUCAACAUCUGUUACUUUUGGUACAAAGACUUCCUAUAUUUACACCAAAAUGUUCAUCUAAAAGAUUUUUUUACCAAUUUUUUACCAAUAUGAAAAUCUGUAAGGU